UAAUAAUAAUAAUAAUAAUAAUUCGACUCCUGGGUUCAGCAAACCAGAUUGUGCUUCCCAAUUCACAGGACGUUUGUGUCCCAAAUCACUUGGGGAUGCAAUCUGGGUCGCCAAAACAAGUGAUCUCAUUCACUCAACACAAAAUCGAAGGACUCGGCAUAAAAUCAAAGAGAAAGUGAGUAGUAUAUAGUAAAGAAGGAGAAGGAAUUUCUCUGUUUGAGAUUUGAAUGACUCUUGUAUUGCGUUUGCUUGUCUAAGAAUGGUCAGACUUCCAGCCAAACAUUCCGUUAAAGAUUUUAUGGUGAUUUUGCAG
This 313-nucleotide unclassified non-coding RNA is filed under the name Hevea brasiliensis (rubber tree). The record is from RNAcentral. Lineage: Eukaryota; Viridiplantae; Streptophyta; Magnoliopsida; Malpighiales; Euphorbiaceae.